UAGCACAUGUGGGCAUGUCUUAUGGAAAGUUGCUUCCAUCCAGGGACCUGUGUUAGCUAGUUCUCAAUUUGGUCUGGUGUCCAAGCCCCACCUCUGGAGUCGAGUCCAUACUCUACCUCACCACCACACCCAGAGACGGGGUUUCGCCAUGUUGCCCAGCCUGGCCUCCAACUCCAGGGUUCAAGUGGCUUGGCCUCUUAAAGUGCUGGGAUUACCCCACCUCAGCUGAUACCUUGAGGAAAACUUCCUGCAAAGGUCUGGAACUAUCACCAACAAACAAAAAACAAAACAAAAAAGAAAAGAAAAAGGUGAGGCUUUUGGCUAUCAGGAACUGAUUUAAUGCUUCCAACCAAGAACAAGGAAGCAGACAUCUGGAAAAACAUGGAGAAAAAUUAAAAUCUGUAUGGAGAAUACUAUGCAUAGGGACUCUAGUCAUACUACAGAUUUGUCUUUACUAAAUGUAAAUAUUGGAUGUCUUUACUAGAUGUAAAUUUAGAGAAGGCACUUGCUAAAUGUAUUGAUGAAUGUCUGGACAACAAAACAAAUCCACAGAAAAGACAAUUUUAAUAGAGAUACCAAUUACUGAGUACUCGCAUGUACCAAGUAUUGCUUCUGCAACAUCUCUAAUUUUGACAACUCCUAUAAAAAGUAGAUAUUAUUACACCUUAUCUUAAAUAUGAAGAAACAGAUGCUAGGAAGAGUUGGGUUAUUUACCCAAGGUCAUUCAGCUAGCGAAAAGUAUCACAAGGGAAACACAGGUCUAUCAGGCUUUAAAAGAUGAAAGAGAUUUACUAACAAAAAGGUGCUUUAGAUAGAAAGAAUCACUAAAAGUCGGGCACGGUGGCUCACGCCUGUAAUCCAAGCACUUUGGUGGCCAAGGCGGGCAGAUCACCUGAGGCUGGGAGUUCAAGACCAGCCUGACCAACAUGGUGAAACCCCGUCUUUUUUAAAAAAAAAAAAUAAUAAAUUAAAAAACAA
Long non-coding RNA from Callithrix jacchus (white-tufted-ear marmoset), 978 nucleotides. RefSeq lists it as uncharacterized. Lineage: Eukaryota; Metazoa; Chordata; Mammalia; Primates; Cebidae. The record is from RefSeq and is a predicted model, not a curated record.